Pseudopodoces humilis (Tibetan ground-tit) is the source of this 4699-nucleotide non-coding RNA. NCBI's taxonomy places the organism in Eukaryota, Metazoa, Chordata, Aves, Passeriformes, Paridae. The record is from RefSeq and is a predicted model, not a curated record.
GCGGCCGCGGGGGCCCGGGCUGGGGGGUCCCGGUCCCGCCCAGGGGCGUCCCGGCCCCGGCCCUCUGAGGGGUCCCGCUCACGGCCCUCGCACGGGUCUCCGCCCCGACCCUCUGAGGGGCGGCCGCCGCGUCUGCCGCGGGCCCCGGGCUGGGCUCGGGCCCGGCGGGGCGGGGGGGCCAUGGCCACCCGGCGUCUCACGGACGCGUUCUUGUUGUUGCGGAACAACGCGGUGCAGAGCCGGCAGCUGCUGGCCGAGCAAGUGAGUAGUUUCGGCUCCUCCAGCCCUCUGAAUUCACGUAGCAUGGCUGCUGCGGAGCUGGAUGAGCUGGCUGAUGACCGCAUGGCCCUGGUGUCGGGGAUAAGCCUGGAUCCCGAGGCAGCCAUCGGAGUGACCAAGCGGUUGCCUCCCAAAUGGGUCGAUGGGGCAGACGAAAUUCAGUAUGAUAUUGCCAGGGUUAAACAGAAGAUGAAAGAAUUAGCCAGUCUUCAUGAUAAACAUCUGAACAGACCCACACUGGAUGACAGCAGUGAAGAGGAACGGGCAAUAGAAAUAACAACCCAGGAGAUCACACAGUUAUUCCACAGAUGUCAGAGAGCAGUCCAGGUGUUGCAGAGCAGGUCACGUACUUGUACAGAACAAGAAGCACGUGUUCUCAGGAAUGUAGUGUCUUCCUUAGCACAGUCCCUUCAGGACCUCUCCACCAACUUUAGGCAUGCACAGUCUGACUAUCUCAAACGUAUGAAGAAUAGAGAAGAAAGGUCCAAACACUUCUUUGACACCUCAGUCCCACUGAUGGAUGAUGGAGAGGAUGAUACCCUUUAUGAUAGAGGUUUUACAGAUGACCAGCUGGCAUUGGUGGAGCAAAACACACUGAUGGUGGAAGAGAGGGAACGAGAAAUCCGUCAGAUUGUGCAGUCAAUCUCCGAUCUCAAUGAAAUAUUUAGGGACCUGGGAGCAAUGAUAGUAGAACAGGGAACAGUUCUAGAUAGAAUUGACUAUAAUAUUGAACAGUCAUGUAUGAAAACUGAAGAGGGCCUAAAACAACUGCAUAAGGCAGAGCAAUAUCAAAAGAAGAAUCGGAAGAUGCUCGUUAUUUUAAUUUUGUUUGUUAUAGUAAUUGUCCUUAUUGUUGUUCUUAUUGGUGUAAAGUUACACUAGGUUUCGCUUCAUUUUCUCAUUUUUGGAGUUUCUGUGAACUUUUUUCCCAAUGUGAAUGGAUGGACCUGCACUCCAGAAAGCUGCCUUUGAAUGUACGAGCCCUUGUGGUGCAACGUCUGUGCAAUGUUUCCGUAGAAUUCUUCAAAGUACAAGUUUGGUGAUCUGUGAGGUGUUUGUAAGGAUUAUAUGGAAAAUGUCAGGAAAUUUGAUGCUCCCACACAAAAAAAUUUUGGCGUUCUAUGCAGAGUUAUUUUGAAACACAGUGUUUAAGAAUAAUUAAAAAUUGAAGUUUACCAGUGACUACAGUAAUUAGUGUGUUACUGUUAACAAAAUGUGUUGUCUUCUAUAUUCUUAUGUCAUAAUUGUUAUAGGCUUCAAAUUUAAACCAUGUUACUGAGUCAACGUGACUGGAUAUCAAAAAUUGAUCUUGAUGUAAAAUUUGUUGAGAUGCAAAAUUGUUUGAUUGAAUGCCCUUUCUUCCAGACUCAAAAACUCCAAAGAACUGGAUAGACAGCUAAAAAGGAAAGCUUUUAGCAACCAGAACGUAAUCCAACCCCUGUGAUCUUAAUUUAGAUACUGCACCAUUACUAAGAAUCAGAGGUACUUGAUCUUGUAAAUAACAAGAUGUAAUCACUGGCAUAAUUUAACACAUUUAGUUAAUUAAAAAAAAAUUCUGAGCUUGAGUAAUCAUGGGAAUAAUUUUCCUUCAUUGGGAUGAUCAUAUAUUUUUCUCAGGCAUUAUUUUUUUAGUUUAGAGUACAGACAUUACAUUAAAGCAGUGAAGUUAACCUGAAAAAAAUGGAAUAGAAACUCAAAAGGAGAAUCUCUCUGGCCUGCUGCAGUGGGUCUUAGAUGUUUCAAACUGUAGCUGCUGUAAAAGUUGUUUAUUUUACAAUGCAUUUGUCCAUAUGGGUUAUGUUUUUUGUAUAAGAAGUGGCUUCACUACAGUAAAUAUUAUAUCCAUUUUCCCUGACAGAAAAUUCUCUUUCAAAUGUCAGCCUGGGAGAGGACGUGUUCGUGGUUUUUCACUGACCAUGAGAGAUGUCAUGCAAAUGACAUUUGACAAGGCCUUCAGUGGAGAAUUUGGGGUUUUCACUGCUCUUUUCAGUGGAAAACUUUGCUGCAGGCCGUACGACAGAAAUUAAGGCAACUUAAAAGUAAUAGAAUACUUUUAAUUUAAUUCAGGCCUGAAGUGGUGUGCAAUUGUAGAGGCCUUGUCUUAAUGUUUUUAAUACUGAUUUUUUUAUAUGUUUGGGGUUUUUUUUCCCAAAGGGACUGUAACUUCCUUCAUUUUUUGACUGAUACAAGUGGUCCCCAUAGACCUGCAGAGAUGUUCUGCUCCAAGCUCCAGAAGUGCAGUUUCAAAACACUAUGAUAUUGAAGUUGCAUCUGUCACCUGCCCCGAAUUUCUUGACUCUGUGCUAAAGAGGACUUGAGAUGUGGCUUCAAACUGACCAUUUUCAGGGAUGGACCUGAAAGCAAAGACUGCAAAAACAUGAAAGCCUUGGCUUUUUGUGUGGCUUAUGAAAAGCUUUGUACCACUCUUGUUACCUCUAGAGAAAGGGGAUGUUGAACCACCAAAACUGCCAGUUCAAGCUCUUCAUUGAAUUCAUGAAGUAAAUUGGUGAAAGGAAGAAUGAGGCUUGUGUUGUGUGUGCAGCUCCCCUGUUCUGGUGAUAGAUCUUUCAAUGAUUGUGCUUUUGACAUUUUAUCAUGGCAGAUGGUUUCAAAGAAGUAAUAAAACACAUCCAACCUAAUUGGACAAUUACUCUUUUUUCUUACUGAAAUUAUAAACUGAAACAUACUUCUGUGAUGUUAACACGUUUCUGUUCUUCGUAAUAAAUGAAAGUGGCAGUGGCAUGAAAUACCUUUUUUUUAACUUUCUGUAGCACAAUGUAUUUUGCAUUGUUGAGAGAUAUUUCCCAUGACUGCCCACUGUCUACCUUUUUUCUACCCAAAUUCUGUACAAGGGAAUGCAUUUUUAAUAAGGUUAAACUCAGAUGUCAAGUGUCAUAUGUGACUUGAGCUGGAAUUUAUUGAAGCUUGACUCUGUUGAUGAAGAAAGCUCAGGACACGCUGGAUUCUAAAUCAUUGCUGGUGUGUGGCUUAUUUUGAGUCAGUCUGAAUAAUGUCAGCAGUUCAAUCAAACCUGAUGCUGUGCUUUGUGGGAGUAUCCCCACAAAAGGGGAUCUGUCUGUGCCUUUGGGCAAUGAAAGCCCAGAAAAGCCACAGCAGCUGCUGCCUCCUCAGGUAUUCCAGGAGCUGCCAGAGCCUCCCGCCUUCGCUUCUGCCCAGCCCUGGGAAUCUCUGUGUGCUGCUGCAGGCAAAGCUGGGACCUUCUCAUCCUGGGGCUUCUUUGUGGGUGCUGCAUUCUUCUCAGCCUGUAUGGAAGCUCAAAUUCCUUGCUAAAGAGCAGAACGUUGCUCAGAAUUGCAUUGCUGAAGCAUCUCCCAAGGGUUUGUGUCUCCUCACCUGGUGGGAGUGGCCUGUAAAGCUGUUGGCUUGUACACAAUUUCUCCACUAAAAUGCAUGGGAGCGCACAAAAAAUGAGCUGCAACUUGUUAACAGAAAUUAAUUAUAUGCCGAAAGGACAGUAUUAAAAGCACUGUAAUAAAUUAUUUUUACUGAAAGUUUUCUCUAGAAACUGAAAAGUAAUGUGGAAGAAUUGGUUUUUCGCUUGCUGGUUUUUGGAAUGUGCUAAAAAUUGGAAUAUCUAUACUUAAUGCUGUGUUCACUGCCUAGAUUGCAUUGAUUUAAGGUUUGCUUUCAUGAACCACAGCACAAAAGAGUCUUAACUCUUGUUUAAGUGUUUGGAAACCUGCAAACUUUAAAUUCUUGAAUAGGUGACAGUGAAAUUGAUUUUGUUGGAAAAAAAUAUGCUACUAUUUAAAAAAAACCCAAACCAAACAACCGCCUUAAACAAAACUCAUUAAAACAGUGAAUUCAUUAUAAUUUUGCAUAUUAAUUAUGGUGGAUUGUGUAAGAUCAUAUUCUACUGGCUUAAUUCCGUGAAUACUUGUAGAGGAUCAAUAACUGGAAGAUGGGUCCUUGCUGCAGCUUCUGGUGGAGCUCAGACAAAUAGAAAUGUUUGCAGCUGCUGGUGGUGGGACGUUCACAGGGAGUUUCUGUAGAUAAAAUUUAUUUUCUCAGUCCAUUCCCUUCACACAGACCGUCCUCUGCUGCCCUUAACUGCAACAAAAGGAUUGUGGGUUAGGUGUUUCCUGCUGUUUUAUUUGCUUUUCAGAUGCCGUGGAUUCAGGGAAUGUGCUGGUUUUGGAUGCUUCGAGCAGCAGGAACAGCAGAUUUUGAACUCAAUGAUUGGGAGCUUACUGCCUGGAGGAAUCUUUGGAAUGUCUCAAUCCUGAAGUAAUUGCUGUGUGUCCUCUCACUCCCACGCUGCUCUUAUGUAUUGGGAUAACAGUGGACCCCUGAGCAGUAUUUUCUGUGGCUCAGUAAAGAGACUCGUUAAAGUUGGAGCCUGUAUAUUGAGUUACUGUCCCAUCUGCGAGGAUGCACGACUGACCUCUGCAACAGAUGU